AGAGUUUGAUCCUGGCUCAGAACGAACGCUGGCGGCGCGUCUUAAGCAUGCAAGUCGAAUGGCAAGAUAAGAGCUUGCUCUUAUCCUAGAAUGGCGGACUGGUGAGUAACGCGUGGGUGACGUACCCUUUAGACGGGGAUAGCUCCUAGAAAUAGGAGAUAAUACCGGAUAGGAUCCACAUUGUUAGAGGGUGUGGAGGAAAGGUUCUUUUGAACCGCUGAAGGAGCGGCCCGCGUACUAUUAGCUAGUUGGUGAGGUAACGGCCCACCAAGGCGAUGAUAGUUACCCGGCCUAAGAGGGUGAUCGGGCACAUUGGGACUGAGAUACGGCCCAGACUCCUACGGGAGGCAGCAGCUAAGAAUAUUCCGCAAUGGACGAAAGUCUGACGGAGCGACGCCGCGUGGAUGAUGAAGGCCGGAAGGUUGUAAAAUCCUUUUAAGUAUGAGGAAUAAGCAGUGUGAGAGAAACGCAUUGUGGUGACUGUAGUAC
This 489-nucleotide ribosomal RNA is filed under the name uncultured bacterium. RNAcentral describes it as "bacterial SSU rRNA". It matches the Rfam family "Bacterial small subunit ribosomal RNA", at positions 8 to 481 of the family's 1533-position model. The record is from RNAcentral.